This 297-nucleotide ribosomal RNA is filed under the name uncultured bacterium. RNAcentral describes it as "partial 16S ribosomal RNA". It matches the Rfam family "Bacterial small subunit ribosomal RNA", at positions 29 to 334 of the family's 1533-position model. The record is from RNAcentral.
AAUGAACGCUGGCGGCAUGGAUUAGGCAUGCAAGUCGAACGCUCUCUUCGGAGAGAGUGGCGAAAGGGUGAGUAACGCGUGAGUGAUCUCGCCCCCAAGUUUGGAAUAACUGUUGGAAACGACAGCUAAUACCGGAUGUGAAUACUUAGUCGCAUGACUUAGUAUUUAAAGGUUUACUGCUUGGGGAUGAGCUCGCGUCCCAUUAUGCUAGUUGGUAAGGUAACGGCUUACCAAGGCUAUGACGGGUAGGUGGUCUGAGAGGAUGGUCACCCACACUGGGACUGAGAUACUGCCCAG